RNAcentral lists this ribosomal RNA (253 nucleotides) under uncultured bacterium. RNAcentral describes it as "partial 16S ribosomal RNA". It matches the Rfam family "Bacterial small subunit ribosomal RNA", at positions 524 to 776 of the family's 1533-position model. The record is from RNAcentral.
UACGAAGGGGGCUAGCGUUGCUCGGAAUCACUGGGCGUAAAGGGUGCGUAGGCGGGUCUUUAAGUCAGGGGUGAAAUCCUGGAGCUCAACUCCAGAACUGCCUUUGAUACUGAGGAUCUUGAGUUCGGGAGAGGUGAGUGGAACUGCGAGUGUAGAGGUGAAAUUCGUAGAUAUUCGCAAGAACACCAGUGGCGAAGGCGGCUCACUGGCUCGGUACUGACGCUGAGGUGCGAAAGCGUGGGGGGCAAACAGG